RNAcentral lists this ribosomal RNA (373 nucleotides) under uncultured soil bacterium. RNAcentral's name for it is "bacterial SSU rRNA". It matches the Rfam family "Bacterial small subunit ribosomal RNA", at positions 26 to 399 of the family's 1533-position model. The record is from RNAcentral.
AGAUUGAACGCUGGCGGAAUGCCUUACACAUGCAAGUCGAACGGCAGCACGGGAGCAAUCCUGGUGGCGAGUGGCGAACGGGUGAGUAAUACAUCGGAACGUGCCCAAUCGUGGGGGAUAACGUAGCGAAAGCUACGCUAAUACCGCAUACGAUCUACGGAUGAAAGCAGGGGAUCGCAAGACCUUGCGCGAAUGGAGCGGCCGAUGGCAGAUUAGGUAGUUGGUGGGGUAAAGGCGUCACCAAGCCUUCGAUCUGUAGCUGGUCUGAGAGGACGACCAGCCACACUGGGACUGAGACACGGCCCAGACUCCUACGAGAGGCAGCAGUGGGGAAUUUGGACAAUGGGCGACAAGCCUGAUCCAGCCAUUCCCG